UUGUGACUGAAUACGUAAGAGUAGUUUAUAUUUUGAGGCUCCCUGUGUUGUAAUUUUUAGUUUGAAUGUGUGUGUAUUUAUUCUUAUAGCAAAAUAUGAAUCUAUCUAUCAUGUUCAAUGAAUUAUUGUUUAUAAAAAGUGCUUGAUCUUGCCAGAAACUUUAAUUUAGUGAGUACUGGAGUUGACGAGUUAGUCAACAAAAGUCAAAACUCGGGAACCCGGGCCUUGCUCCAAGUCCAACUCCAAGUCAUGGCUGAAAAAAUCCGUGGUGAUGCAGUUAGUAAUGAAGAAUCAAGAACGCUUACUGAUAGAUCAACUUCAGCAACCAUUUAUAUUGAUGCAAAUCAUAAAGACAGAGGUCAGUUAUCGGCAGCAGCGGGGGAGUAUCAAAUUCAUAAAAAGAAGCCAACAUCUUUCCAAAUUACAAGUGUAACUGUACAAGGAUCACCUCGAUUGAGUAAUGAUGCUGGAGAAGACAGUGCAGAUGAUCUUGACGAAAGUCAUACUGAAGAUAUACAUUCAGAUGGGCAAGACAGCUCUAGAUUUACUGAACUAGAAAAUGAUCAGCUUUCUGAAGAUAGCAUGAUAAACAGUAAUAGUAAUAGCAACAUAAGUGAUAGAUCUAAAGUGUCUCAGGCUGGGCCAGGCACAGAAACAAUUUCCAGUCCAUCCAUUCCAGCAAAAUUUGAGAAUGUUGUUGAGACCACUAGUAAUGUUAAUAUAAUUGCUACAACCAGUGAUUCCAAAGUAGGUGUAGAUAUUCCUUUAAAUGUUUGUAAUUCAAGUGAUUUUGUGGGAAAUGUGAUAGAUCCAGAUGGUCAAAAUGUCACAUUGUCAUUUGUGACGAGUUGCACGACCAGUAAAUCUACUUGUACAGUAAGUGGCCAGAUGCCCAUGACAUCUCUACCAGACCAAUGGCAGAAUCGUUUUAAAGUUGUUAAACUUGUCAGUAGUGAACCAUUUAAACGGGGACGUUGGGUUUGUAUGGAUUUUACAAACCCACCUGCUGUGCAGGCAGAUGUUUCUAAACAAGAACUUUCUACUGAUCAAGGUAGUGCUUCUGGUGCUUCAAGUGCUGGAAGCUCAGCCACAUCAGUGGUUAGUGAAAGUCAACCAUUAGAUACUGUAACACAAGUUCAUGAAAUUCCUGUAAGUCAACCUUAUUCUGCUACUGGUAGCAUAUUGGCUGCAACAGAUACUCCACACAGUUCUCAAUCUGUAUACGAGAUUUAUCUUCCAAUGAAUAAUCAAAUUUCUAGUGCUCAGCAGGUACCCCAGAUGUCCAUGGUUCAGAACUUUGGAAUUAAAGCUGGCCAAUCAGUUGUAGUUGACCCACAACAAACAUUCUUGCCACAGCAAAGUCAAACUAUGAUAAAUGCAUCACAGAGCCAAACAAGCCAGCUUCAAUCUCAACACCAGAUACAACCUGGUCAGACAGUUUCUGCAAUACCCCAACCUCCAACUCAACCAAUAGUUCAGGUCUCAGAAACAUUGCCUCAGCCUGUUGUUUCUCAACAGCAUCCAACUCCACCUUCUCAGCCUACUUCGGGGCUGCAUACACAAUCCAUGGGAAACAUUCCAGAUGCCUCACAAUCCCAGCUAUCACAGACUGUAUGUAGUCAAGACCAGAACUACCAGGUUCCUAGUCAAAUUAAUAAAGCCUCUACGAGCAGUGAUGUUAGUGCUCCAAAUGUCAUUACUACAGGAACUGCAUCUGUGCCUCCUUUAUCGAAAGCUCUUCCUGAUACCUUAACUCUUGGAAGUGCGGGUGAUGGUGAGGAAGCUGAAAGUUAAGGAUGUAUAGGAAAUUAUUUCAUCACCUCCGUGAUUUCGCUGCUUUCAUUGACGCGAACCAGUUGACAACGUUCUUUAAUUAACACAACGCAACCGUCUUCAUACGAAAGAAAAAAGGAGAUGAUGUCGACUUUGACCCGGUGUAAACAAAAAACUGGUGGGUUUCAUGGAUGUGGAUUGAGGAAAGAAGUCAUUUAGUGCUUCUACAGGAUCCAGUACUGUAGCCAUAGACAACAAGAUUGAACAAGCCAUGGACCUUGUGAAGAGUCACCUGAU
RNAcentral lists this unclassified non-coding RNA (2070 nucleotides) under Limulus polyphemus (Atlantic horseshoe crab). RNAcentral describes it as "protein bunched, class 2/F/G isoform-like, transcript variant X5". Lineage: Eukaryota; Metazoa; Arthropoda; Merostomata; Xiphosura; Limulidae. The record is from RNAcentral.